This 315-nucleotide long non-coding RNA is filed under the name Linum usitatissimum (flax). Its description in RNAcentral is "long non-coding RNA (LUSI_LNC006819)". The record is from RNAcentral. Lineage: Eukaryota; Viridiplantae; Streptophyta; Magnoliopsida; Malpighiales; Linaceae.
AUGAAGAAUCAUGUAAUUGAUCUCAAAGAUCAAUCACCAAUCGACAAUAAGGAGUGAUCGGCACCUAUAAAUAAAGAAGCAGAAGCUCUUCACCAAUUCACAAACAAGUACUUUGUCCUCUCAGUUUCAAUAUUUUGUCUUUCGAGUUGGUUGUUGUUAUUAUCGUUUUUUAGUGAAAAGUUAAUAGGUUGUGAUUAAGAGAAGAGAGUGUGAGUGGAGUGUUCUUGGUUAGUCGAUAAGAUUGUUGGUGAGUAACGAUCUGUAUCGCAGCUUUUGUUGUCGAGAAGUCACAGGUAUAAGUUGUCACUCCGUGUG